This 408-nucleotide ribosomal RNA is filed under the name uncultured bacterium. Its description in RNAcentral is "partial 16S ribosomal RNA". It matches the Rfam family "Bacterial small subunit ribosomal RNA", at positions 28 to 526 of the family's 1533-position model. The record is from RNAcentral.
GACGAACGCUGGCGGCGUGCUUAACACAUGCAAGUCGAACGAAGUGGCGAACGGGUGAGUAACGCGUAAUCAACCUGCCCUUCAGAGGGGGAUAACAGUUGGAAACGACUGCUAAUACCGCAUAGUGAAGGAGGGGAUUGCGUCUGAUUAGCUCGUUGGGGGGGGAACGGCCCACCAAGGGGAUGAUCAGUAGCCGGGCUGAGAGGAUGAACGGCCACAUUGGGACUGGGACAAGGCCCAGACUCCUAAGGGAGGGAGCAAUGGGGGAUCUUCCGAAAUGGACGAAAGUCUGACGGAGCAACGCCGCGUGGGGGAUGACGGCCUUCGGGUUGUAAAGCUCUGUUAAUCGGGACGCGGUACCGGAAUAGAAAGCCACGGCUAACUACGUGCCAGCAGCCGCGGUAAUUC